This 490-nucleotide ribosomal RNA is filed under the name uncultured bacterium. RNAcentral's name for it is "partial 16S ribosomal RNA". It matches the Rfam family "Bacterial small subunit ribosomal RNA", at positions 30 to 507 of the family's 1533-position model. The record is from RNAcentral.
AUUGAACGCUGGCGGCAGGCUUAACACAUGCAAGUCGAGCGGUAGCACAGGGGAGCUUGCUCCCUGGGUGACGAGCGGCGGACGGGUGAGUAAUGUCUGGGAAACUGCCUGAUGUAGGGGGAUAACUACUGGAAACGGUAGCUAAUACCGCAUAACGUCGCAAGACCAAAGAGGGGGACCUUCGGGCCUCUUGCCAUCAGAUGUGCCCAGGUGGGAUUAGCUAGUAGGUGGGGUAAUGGCUCACCUAGGCGACGAUCCCUAGCUGGUCUGAGAGGAUGACCAGCCACACUGGAACUGAGACACGGUCCAGACUCCUACGGGAGGCAGCAGUGGGGAAUAUUGCACAAUGGGCGCAAGCCUGAUGCAGCCAUGCCGCGUGUGUGAAGAAGGCCUUCGGGUUGUAAAGCACUUUCAGCGAGGAGGAAGGUGGUGAACUUAAUACGUUCAUCAAUUGACGUUACUCGCAGAAGAAGCACCGGCUAACUCCGUG